CCUACGGGAGGCAGCAGUGGGGAAUCUUGCACAAUGGGGGAAACCCUGAUGCAGCGACGCCGCGUGAGUGAAGAAGUAAUUCGUUUCGUAAAGCUCUAUUAGCAGGGAAGAACAUGCCGGUACCUGAGUAUGAAGCUCCUGCCAACUACUAGCCAGCAGCCGCGGUAAUACGUAGGGGGCACGCGUUAUCCGGAUUUACUGGGUGUAAAGGGAGCGUAGACGGCAGUGCAAGUCUGGAGUGAAAGGCGGGGGCUCAACCCCCGGAGGGCACUGGAAACUGUACGGCUGGAGUGCAGGAGAGGAAAGUGGAAUUCCUAGUGUAGCGGUGAAAUGCGUAGAUAUUAGGAGGAACACCAGUGGCGAAGGCGGCUUACUGGACUGUAACUGACGUUGAGGCUCGAAAGCGUGGGGAGCAAACAGGAUUAGAUACCCGAGUAGUC
Molecule: ribosomal RNA, 440 nt
Filed under: uncultured bacterium
Lineage: Bacteria
Description: partial 16S ribosomal RNA
Rfam family: Bacterial small subunit ribosomal RNA
Source: RNAcentral